GUUUAAAGCUCCACGGUUUCCGUGGCGCGUUGUAGACUGAAGGGGCGCUAUCUUCGCGUCGGCCCGGGUAUAGGUCCGUUGGAAAGCGGCGUCACAGAGGGUGAGAACCCCGUCAGUGACUCGGGUAUACCGUACGCGUCAUACGUUGCGCUUCCAGAGAGUCGGGUUGUUUGGGAUUGCAGCCCAAAAUGGGUGGUAAACUCCAUCUAAAGCUAAAUAUUGGCACGAGACCGAUAGCGAACAAGUACCGUGAGGGAAAGAUGAAAAGCACUUUGAAAAGAGAGUCAAACAGUACGUGAAACCGUUAAGGGGGAAGCGAAUGGAGCUAGCAUCUGCACCUUUGAGUUACAAUCAGCCAGACGUCUCAUGGCCGGAGUUGGCGACGGAGCUUCUCGAGUUGUAAGGGGCUUUGUAUCCUUGCAAAUGCCGAGUGGGCCUGGCGUCUGAUUUCGUGGACCCCGUGAGGAUUUUCAGCCUGGUGCACUUGUGACCGGUGACAGGCCAACAUCAGUUCGGAAAAAGCAAAAAGAAAUUUUUGUGCCUUAAGGACAGUCGCCCGGAAGGGAAGGUGGUUGCUGCCGGAGCUUUUGCACCGGUUUGCAAUGUUAUAGCCCUUUCGAUGGCCGUCGAGGCCCGGACUGAGGAGAUCAAGCAGCGCGCUUAUCUUGCAGCGCUUCCGCUGGGAGUGGYGAAGAUCCGGGACUGCGCCCGAAACGGGUUCAGUGUCGGGCUUUCGUCGCUUUCAUUACAUCGGGAGUCUACGCUUUAAACGCGCUUGUGAUGUUGGCGAAAUGGCUUCAUCCGACCCGUCUUGAAACACGGACCAAGGAGUCUAACAUAUGCGCGAGUCUUUAGGGUGUCAAACCCGGGAGAGGCGAAAUGAAAGUGAAGGCGUGCCAUUUUUUGUCGCGCGCCGAGGUGAGACGUUCUUCUCCUCGUGAGGAGGACCGCAUCAUCGACCGAUCCGAAUGGGCCGUUGAGGGACUUGUCCUUCUUCGGACUUCCUGAAAGAUUUGAGUAAGAGCGUGUCUGUUAGGACCCGAAAGAUGGUGAACUAUGCCUGAACAGGGUGAAGUCUGAGGAAACUCAGAUGGAAGCUCGCAGCGAUUCUGACGUGCAAAUCGAUCGUCUGAUUUGGGUAUAGGGGCGAAAGACUAAUCGAACCAUCUAGUAGCUGGUUCCCUCCGAAAUUUCCCUCAGGAUAGCUGGAACUCGAAUACGCAGUUUUAUCAGGUAAAGCGAAUGAUUAGAGGCCUUGGGGUCGAAAUGACCUCAACCUAUUCUCAAACUUUAAAUGGGUAAGAAGCCCGACUUGCUUAAGUGAAGCCGGGCAUUUUUUCGAAUGCAAGAGUUCUAUGUGGGCCAUUUUUGGUAAGCAGAACUGGCGAUGCGGGAUGAACCGAACGCGAAGUUAAAGUGCCAAAGUUCACGCUCACCUAGAACCCAUAAAAGGUGUUGGCUGAUGAAGACAGCAGGACGGUGGCCAUGGAAGUCGGAAUCCGCCAAGGAGUGUGUAACAACUCACCUGCCGAAUCAGCCAGCCCUGAAAAUGGAUGGCGCUCAAGCGUGACACUCAUACUUCGCCGUUGCCGCAAAAGGAACGUGACCGUCUUUUUUUUGUGCCGCAACGAGUAGGAGGGCGUGGAGGUAGUGAAGCAGCUUAGGGCGUGAGCCCGAGUGAAACUGCC
Molecule: ribosomal RNA, 1688 nt
Filed under: Enterobryus sp. CO-16-W6
Lineage: Eukaryota; Ichthyosporea; Ichthyophonida; Eccrinaceae
Description: eukaryotic LSU rRNA
Rfam family: Eukaryotic large subunit ribosomal RNA
Source: RNAcentral